Long non-coding RNA from Neopsephotus bourkii (Bourke's parrot), 945 nucleotides. RefSeq lists it as uncharacterized. NCBI's taxonomy places the organism in Eukaryota, Metazoa, Chordata, Aves, Psittaciformes, Psittacidae. The transcript has 3 exons. The record is from RefSeq and is a predicted model, not a curated record.
AGCCAGUGCUCCUCCUCUACAGGAAAAUGAGCAGCCAGCAGAAACUAGAUGCUUCUCACUAUGGGGUGAGGGUGGAGAACCCACCAACUGCUGAGACAGUCAAUAGGCAUAUUAUUCAUCACACAUUGCUAGGAGAUUAACUGAGCAAACGUUCUGACAAAACUGAUUAAAGUCUUCAUCCUGUAACAGGAGAACAAAGAGACACCAAGUUAUUACACCCAGCCAAAUGCCAGAUGAUGAUUACAUGUAGUGGAAACACAAAGUAUGCAGUAGGUUCCUCCCCCUCCCCAAACGGAGGCAUGAAAAAUCUCCCCGUAAAUUGUUCUGGUAAUGUACAGAGACUUUUGGAAAGGAAGGCCAUCGUCUGUCAGGACCCUGAGACAUAAAACUAGACAUUGCAGCCCCCUGAGGAGUGAGUAGCAGGAGCUGGGCGAUGCCACCAGUGGCUCUUCCCUCUCUAAACCCCUGACUCUGAGGAGCCAAGACUAUGAUGAACUGUCAGCCAGUAUAAAGCAGAAAAAGGGCAGAUUUUACAGUUGCUGUGGAUGCCUGAUAUCAGCUUCUCUGGAAAAAUUCAAGGAUAUUUUUGGUUCAAGAUUAAGAAGUCACCAGAUAAAUUAUUAGCCAGCUGAAUCCUACUUAUUUUACAUAUAUGAGCAAACGACACUAUUGAAACAAUAUUCUGCACUUAGUGCUGUCAGUGGAUAUUCACACAUUGUUCUUAAUGUGUUGUUUCUUUCCCAGAGCAAUAUUAGUUUAGAUGUUUUAAACAUGAACCUGAUUUUACGUCUUCAUUUGCAGCCUGUUUUGCCCAGUAUUGACAAGAUGUGAGUUUUCUUUCCACCGUGAAGCUGCAGGCCUGGAUUCUCACUGUUUACCUCUACUGUUGUACAAAUUAUGUCAUUAUACUGGUCUAAAAAAUGUCAAUAAAGGAUUUUUAAUGGG